UACGUAGGGUGCAAGCGUUAAUCGGAAUUACUGGGCGUAAAGCGUGCGCAGGCGGCUUUGCAAGACAGAUGUGAAAUCCCCGGGCUUAACCUGGGAACUGCAUUUGUGACUGCAUGGCUAGAGUGCGGCAGAGGGGGAUGGAAUUCCGCGUGUAGCAGUGAAAUGCGUAGAUAUGCGGAGGAACACCGAUGGCGAAGGCAAUCCCCUGGACCUGCACUGACGCUCAUGCACGAAAGCGUGGGGAGCAAACAGG
RNAcentral lists this ribosomal RNA (253 nucleotides) under uncultured bacterium. RNAcentral's name for it is "partial 16S ribosomal RNA". It matches the Rfam family "Bacterial small subunit ribosomal RNA", at positions 524 to 776 of the family's 1533-position model. The record is from RNAcentral.